RNAcentral lists this ribosomal RNA (506 nucleotides) under uncultured bacterium. RNAcentral's name for it is "partial 16S ribosomal RNA". It matches the Rfam family "Bacterial small subunit ribosomal RNA", at positions 28 to 523 of the family's 1533-position model. The record is from RNAcentral.
GAUGAACGCUGGCUACAGGCUUAACACAUGCAAGUCGAGGGGUAACGAGAGGAAAGCUUGCUUUCCUUGUCGACGACCGGCGCACGGGUGAGUAACGCGUAUCCAACCUGCCCCCAACUAGGGAAUAACCUUGCGAAAGUAAGACUAAUACCCUAUAAUUUCCUCAGAUGACAUCUGACGAGGAAUAAAGAUUUAUCGGUUGUGGAUGGGGAUGCGUCUGAUUAGCUUGUUGGCGGGGUAACGGCCCACCAAGGCAACGAUCAGUAGGGGUUCUGAGAGGAAGGUCCCCCACAUUGGAACUGAGACACGGUCCAAACUCCUACGGGAUGCAGCAGUGAUGAAUAUUGGUCAAUGGGCGGAAGCCUGAACCAGACAAGUAGCGUGCAGGAUUACGGCCCUAUGGGUUGUAAACUGCUUUUAUACAGGAAUAAAGUUAGCCACGUGUGGUUAUUUGUAGGUACUGUAUGAAUAAGGACCGGCUAAUUCCGUGCCAGCCGCCGCGGUAA